AGAAAAGCUUAGACAUUCAUAGGAAUAAGACCUCCCACUAUUUAUUGGUUGAUUACAAGCUCAGUAUGAUUCAAUUGAUGAUUAGAUAGUAGACAUCACCUGUUACAAUUGGAGCCCUGUGGCCAAGAGGACGCCUAUGAACUAUUUCACCUGAUUAGGCCACGCUGGAAUUUUGUGCUUGGGUAAGAGGUCGUGCUUCCCCAGGACACGGGCAGCAGCCUGGAGAGAGGAGUCUCAGAGGGUAACCCUGCUCUUCUCAAAUAUGGAGAGCUCCUAUGUGGAAGGGCAGUGAGUGGGAUUUAUCUUUUUCUGGGGAUUCCAGAUGACAGAAAAUUAGGCCCACACUGCUGAGUGGGAUUUGAGUGUGAGAAUCCAAGUACAGAAGCUGAAUUUGGGAAGUCUUGCUAAAGAAAGUGGAAGAUUUUCCCUAUUCCACAUUUUGGAAGUAUCAAGAGCUGUUUCAUGAGAUAAGCUGGCGAGAGGAAAUAGACUACUCUGGUAGGAAACUAGAGCAGGUGGGCAGGAGUGACUUUCCU
Molecule: long non-coding RNA, 536 nt
Filed under: Pan troglodytes (chimpanzee)
Lineage: Eukaryota; Metazoa; Chordata; Mammalia; Primates; Hominidae
Description: lincRNA
Source: RNAcentral